Oreochromis niloticus (Nile tilapia) is the source of this 3698-nucleotide long non-coding RNA. RefSeq lists it as uncharacterized. NCBI's taxonomy places the organism in Eukaryota, Metazoa, Chordata, Actinopteri, Cichliformes, Cichlidae. The record is from RefSeq and is a predicted model, not a curated record. The transcript has 3 exons.
AAAGCAUAAGCCAUUUAGAUAUAAAAUUAUCGCCAGUUAAUUUCAUAUUAUUCUACAGGAAAUGAGUAAUUAUGGUUAGCAUAAACAUAACUGAUUCAGAGUCUACAUCACUGAGACUGGGCUUUCACUGAAGGGAAACCAGGUGGAAUAACUGAUGGCAGAGGUCAAAUGUUCCAGUACACCAUAGCAGUGAACGGUCACACACAAGAGCAGGACCUCUCCUAAAUGGAAUGCAGCCAUAAUUAAUAUAUUUAUCCCACUUCAGCUUCUGAUAUGCAAGACAAAAUUUGCUGCUGCCCUAGAUUUUUUGUUUUGCAGUAAGAGAUGUUUUUAGUCAUCUGUUAAUGACUGCGAAGGCCGGCUGCUUAAGGUUCAUAUCAUUUGUUUUUGUCCAGGUCAUAUGCCAAUGAAAGAGGAGCAAGUACUAAUACUGAAACAUAGUUGCCCUCUUCUGUAUUUUUUUUUUCCUCUACGCAGACUUCUGGAUUUCAGGCAUGAUUGAUUUUGUGCUCCCCUUAAUUCCCUUCAUUUAAUCCCUCUGACAUAUUGAGAAAGUAAUGGAAGUGCUCCUUCUGAGAGCUGCUAUUGUGUGAGGAGCUGUCAUAACUCCAUGACAGGACUACUGCAUCUUUUCAGUCACAUAUUCUACAUUUUAAUUUUACAUUGUAUCUACAUAUAAGAGAAGAACAGUAGAGACAGCUGGGGUAUCUUGUAGCUUUGUUUUUUUUUUUUCUAAAAUAAACUCUAAUGAUUCAUAGGUGCUGUAGGUCUUAUGUAUGCUUGGCUUCGUUGCCAUUGUAAUAAUAUCAUAUGUAAUCAUGGCCUAUUUUUUUUUUAUGCUGCAGUACCAAACAGAAUCUAUUUUUGCCUUUAGUCUAAACCCACCCACAGUGAAUUUUUGUUACAGUAUUUAGGCUUGGAACACAUCUCAGCUAAUUGCUUCUGGGUCAAGAAGAAUAUGCUCAAGCCCUUAUCUAGACUGCGGUUACUAGGUGACGACACACCCUGCGCAUUAUGUGCCUCUGAAUUUUUUGGGAGGAGAGGCACAGAGAGCAAAACCUCUACAGGAUAUUUGCGUUCAUCACCACGUCUAGCAGCUCGUUUUAGUUGUUUUGUAUGCGGUGACGCUAGCACAGCUGAAAUUCACAUCAGAUCAGAGUUUUUGGUUUCACCUGAAAUUUCAACUAAAAAAAAAGAAGAAGAAGAAAAAAAUUACCAGCAAAACAAUGCAUCACAAUACAUCCCAGCUGUUACAGAGCGACAGGUAGAGGGUUACACCCUGGAUAGUUGCUAAGCUGUUGCACGGCUAACACAGAGAGACAGACAACCGUUACACUCACAUCUACAGCCAAUUUAGAAUCACUAAUUAACCUGACCCCACUAACUGCAUGUCUUGGCACUGUGGGAGGAAGCUGGAGUACCUGGAGAGAUCCUGAACAUGCAAAACUCCACACAGAAAGGCCCAGAUGGCAGAUCCAAACCCAGGACUUUGUGAGCCAACAGAGUCAACCACCAGGCUCAAAUGGGUUGAAGACUCAAGUGUUUUUGAAGCAGGAUGUGUGUCAGUGUGUGCCUGUUUGUCAAUGUCUAUGUGUCAGGUCAGGUCUUAAACUCUCCUUCUCUCUGAGAAAAGCUCAAGCUCGACCGGGUUUGGGGCCUGUUUAUCCCCGACACACUCCCUGCCAGUGGCUGGUGCCCCCACCAGUGAAUUGCUGGUUCUCGGUGUCUGGGGCUGGAUACUCGGGUGUGUACUGGCUCGCUCCUGGCGGCUGCUUCGCGGGGCCUGGGCCCUGCUCUUCUACUCUAUUUUUCUCUCCCUUCUGCUCCUUCUGUUAACUUUUUCCCCAACUUCAUUUUCUUUUGUUUUUUUAUAGGCCCCCAGUCUUGUCUGUUAUGGCUCUUUAUCAGUCUACUCAAUCCGCUGGUGAAGUAUUACAAGUUGUCACAAGUAUUCAGGGAGUUGGCAGAGGCCACAGACUGGGGACCUGUCCAGGAUGUACCCUGCCUCUCCCCCUAUGACGGCUGGGAUAGGCUCCAGGCCCCUGGGACAGCCGAGUUAGAUAAGCAAAACAAAAUGGAUGGAUGGAUGCUUGCCAAAACUAACAACAAAAGCUGACUUCUUGGAGAGCAUCUGGCAAUAUAAUAGAUUGGUGUGUAUGCCCCAGGUAAGACUGAAGUUCAUAAAGGAGAUGGACCAAAGGCUCUAGAUGUGAAACAAAGAACAGCAAAGAACGACGUCUACACACUGUGCAGAUAUAAAUCUACAGUAUUAUAAAUAUUGUGCCACUGCGCGGGGAACGCCUCAACUUUUACAAACUAAACAGAGCACAAUAGCGUCAUCAAAGGGAAGUUGGGAUAAAUGAAAAUUCAGGCGCUAACAUGAGGAGGCAGUUAAUGAAAUUUUCUCCCAGCUAUGAGUUUGUAUUAAUUUAGACAGCAUCUGCUCACUGUCAUUAUAUAACGCUUCUGUUUAGGAUACUGUAAUGAUAGGGAAAACCGGAUCUCAGAGCUCCUCCUCCCCUCGUUGUAUCCUCUUUUAUGUGAGUCCAACUGUUAAUAAAUUCCAUCAAAUUGAAGAUCUGUCCGAGAUCCAGUCGUUUUAUAAAACUCAUUUGGUUUUGUGUUGCAAUCUUUCUGCUCUGUGGGAACAGACGCUUUCUAGUCUAUAGUGUAUAGUAUGACACUUGGGGUUGGUUACCAAGGCAACUAGGAAUCCUUGCUAUAGCUGUUAUUCAUUCAUAUCCAGGAAGACGUCACACACAACAUACAUGCUGUGCUUUUCUUAGGGCCUUUGUAAUUUGACUCUCAUGGCCAAUUUUUACAAAUAUUACAUGUAUUUAUUUAUUUUAUGUCUAACAGGGUUGUGUUUUCUUUCAUGGUCCUUUGAUAAAGCGCUAUCCUGGAAAUAGAUUGCUAUCUAAUUGUAAGUCAUAAGAAAUCUUUUUGAUGAAAGAGUAUGUAACUGUAUGCUAACUGAAGUUCAACAUCGUCGGCCCGGCCGGCUUUCCUGGCUGUUUGACUCCUAGUUUAUUUUUUGCAUAAUUUCCACUUUCCCAUGUUGUCAGACUCAUUGCUGACAUCACUGCUGUAGUCCAAUCAUCUUCCUGCCUGCCUUCUGUGAGCCAGUGAGCCUCCAUCCUCCAUUACCUUGGCCUCCAAUAACACUGGCUUUAAAGACCUGCAUUUCCAGAUUCGGGAACAGUUUCUAUCCAACAGCCAAAAAUGAACUCAGUUUUCCCCUCCCAGUAUCUUUCCAAUAGCUCUAAGUCACUAGUUGCACAAAAAUAGCACUUUAAAGCAUUUAAAUUCUUAUAAUAUUUUUAUCUUUUAAGUACAUUGCUUUAUAGAUUGGAUUUCUAUAGUAGUGCAUUUUUUAUUACAUUUUUAUUUUGUUUUGUUUUUAAUUUAUUGGGCAUGUGUACAAUGCAACUUUCUUUUGUUAAAGACAGCAAAUCUUAUUGUAUGUGUUGCAUGUAAUGACAUUGAAGGUAGUCUAAUCCUGAAUCCGAUUCUGAAGUAUAUCCUGUAAAUUACAUAUAAAUAAAAGCUAAAUUGUUGCUGACAUUGUUUCAACAAUGUUAUUUCAGUCUAUGAAAUCAUGAUCAGUUAUUUACACAUUAUUAUUAUUAUUAUAUAAAUAAUACAUAUCAAUGCAUAAAACCACCCGAAUAUUACUAAAAAUGUCAUGGCUCAAAAGU